CAGGACGAACGCUGGCGGCGUGCCUAAUACAUGCAAGUCGAACGGUCUUUCUAUGGAAGCUUGCUCCACUGAGAAGAUAGUGGCGAACGGGUGAGUAACACGUGGGUAACCUGCCCAUAAGAGGGGGAUAACAUCCGGAAACGGGUGCUAAUACCGCAUAGUUUUCUUGAUCGCAUGAUCGGGAAAGGAAAGACGGCCUUUGUGCUGUCGCUUAUGGAUGGACCCGCGGCGUAUUAGUUAGUUGGUGAGGUAACGGCUCACCAAGACGAUGAUACGUAGCCGACCUGAGAGGGUGAUCGGCCACAUUGGGACUGAGACACGGCCCAAACUCCUACGGGAGGCAGCAGUAGGGAAUCUUCCGCAAUGGACGAAAGUCUGACGGAGCAACGCCGCGUGAGUGAAGAAAGGUUUUCGGAUCGUAAAACUCUGUUGUCAGAGAAGAACAAGUUGGAGAGUAACUGCUCCAGCCUUGACGGUAUCUGACCAGAAAGCCACGGCUAACUACGUGCCAGCCGCCGC
RNAcentral lists this ribosomal RNA (519 nucleotides) under uncultured bacterium. RNAcentral describes it as "bacterial SSU rRNA". It matches the Rfam family "Bacterial small subunit ribosomal RNA", at positions 25 to 518 of the family's 1533-position model. The record is from RNAcentral.